RNAcentral lists this ribosomal RNA (484 nucleotides) under uncultured bacterium. RNAcentral's name for it is "partial 16S ribosomal RNA". It matches the Rfam family "Bacterial small subunit ribosomal RNA", at positions 28 to 523 of the family's 1533-position model. The record is from RNAcentral.
GGUGAACGCUGGCGGCGUGCUUAACACAUGCAAGUCGAACGAGAACGGGUUAUAGCUUGCUAUAAUUGUCAGCUAAGUGGCGCACGGGUGAGUAAUGUAUAGGUAAUAUGCCUCUUACUGAGGGAUAACAAAUGGAAACGUUUGCUAAUACCUUAUACUCCUUAUUAACAUAAGUUAAUAAGGGAAAGAUUUAUUGGUAAGAGAUUAGCCUGUAUUGUAUCAGUUAGUUGGUGGGGUAAUGGCUUACCAAGACUAUGACACAUAACUGGUUUGAGAUGAUGAUCAGUAACACUGGAAUUGAGACACGGUCCAGACUCCUACGGGAGGCAGCAGUGGGGAAUAUUGCACAAUGGACGAAAGUCUGAUGCAGCAACGCCGCGUGGAGGAUGACACAUUUCGGUGCGUAAACUCCUUUUAUAUGAGAAGAUAAUGACGGUAUUAUAUGAAUAAGCACCGGCUAACUCCGUGCCAGCCGCCGCGGUAA